This is a long non-coding RNA of Gallus gallus (chicken), 374 nucleotides long. The record is from Ensembl. Lineage: Eukaryota; Metazoa; Chordata; Aves; Galliformes; Phasianidae.
GGCCGCUCGGCUUCGCGCUGCGGAAGCCCCGUACAGCCGAAUACUCAUGCCAAAGCUGACAGCCCAUGGCCUGGAAAGGUGUACUCUUCACUUGACCCUCUGAUCAGGAAGAAGAAAAGGUGAAGGCCUCAGACAACUUCAGUCAUCUGGAAGAAGCCUUCUGUUUGCAAGCCCUGAUGCUCAUGGUAGACUUUAACCACUGAAAUAUCUGCUGGAGUGUCACAGGUGAUCUAGAAGGUGCCUGAAGUGCAGAUGAUAACUUCCUAAGAUCAAGUAGCUAGUGAGGGAAAAUUCCCUUAUAGAUCUGAUUCCUAUCAACAAGAAAGAACUGGUUGAGAAUGUGAGAGCUGAGUGCAUCCUUGGCUGCAGUGACU